This is a long non-coding RNA of Erpetoichthys calabaricus (reedfish), 1724 nucleotides long. RefSeq lists it as uncharacterized. Lineage: Eukaryota; Metazoa; Chordata; Cladistia; Polypteriformes; Polypteridae. The transcript is spliced from 3 exons. The record is from RefSeq and is a predicted model, not a curated record.
CGGCUGCUCUGUGUUGUUAAUUGCCUGGAACACCCAUUAGAUUCCGAUGACAUCUUACUGCAAUAUCUCUGAAAAGGAUGUUUUAUUGAUUAAAUCCAGGGAUGUGUCCAUUCCAGCAAGCAUUGGGCACAAUGCAGAAACAAUCCCUGGACGAUGCCUCGGCUCAUCGCAAGGUGAAUACAAGCACACACAUACACUAGCGUCAUUUUAGCGGUACCAAAUCUGCAUAUCUUUGGAAGGAAACUGGAGCACACUGAGGAAACCCAGCAGGAAAACAUGUAAACUCCAGGUGCCUUGAACAACAUCCAGUUACCCACUAAUCUAGGAAGAGCGUCCUCUGUGUCAAGUGCCUGUUCUGCUGUUUGUGUCUUCAUAGGCACGUGCUGCCACAAUACAGAAGGCUACAGCUUGGAGACAUGAUUUUGAUUAUGCAGCAAAUGAAGACCACAGAGAAGACUGCUGCUUCACCACCUGAGGCCACAGGUUCAACACGCCCUCGACCCUCUGCAGUUUGCAUAUCAGGAGAAGGUGGGAGCAGAGGAUGCCAUCAUCUAUAUGCUACACUGAUCCCUCUCUCACUUGGACAGAGGCAGUGGUACUGUAAGAAUUAUGUUUCUAGACUUCUCUAGCGCUUUCAACACAAUCCAACCUCUGCUCCUUAGGGACAAGCUGACAGAGAUGGGAGUAGAUUCAUACCUGGUGGCAUGGAUCGUGGACUAUCUUAAAGACAGACCUCAGUAUGUGUGUCUUGGGAACUGCACGUCUGACAUUGUGGUCAGCAACACAGGAGCGCCACAAGGGACUGUACUUUUUCCGAUCCUGUUCAGCCUAUAUACAUCGGACUUCCAACACAACUCAGAGUCCUGCCACAUGCAAAAGUUCGCUGAUGACACUGCUAUCAUGGGCUGCAUCAGGAGUGGGCAGGAGGAGGAGUAUAGGGACCUAAUCAAUGACUUUGUUAAAUGGUGCGACUCAAACCACCUACACCUGAACACCAACAAAACCAAGGAGCUGGUGGUGGAUUUUAGGAGGCCCAGACCCCUUAUGGACCCCAUGAUGGACCAUCAGAGGUGACUGUGUGCAGAUGGUGCAGACCUAUAAAUACCUGGGAGUGCAGCUGGAUGAUAAAUUAGACUGGACUGCCAAUACUGAUGCUCUUUGUAAGAAAGGACAGAGCCGGUUAUACUUCCUUAGAAGGCUGGCGUCCUUCAACAUCUGCAGUAAGAUGCUGCAGAUGUUCUAUCAGACGGUUGUGGCGAGCACCCUCUUCUACGCGGUGGUGUGCUGGGGAGGCAGCAUUAAGAAGAAAGACGCCUCACGCCUGGACAAACUGGUGAGGAAGGCAGGCUCUGUUGUUGGCAUGGAGCUAGACAGUUUGACAUCUGUGGCAGAGCGACGGGCGCUCAGCAGGCUCCUAUCAAUUAUGGAAAAUCCACUGCAUCCACUGAACAGUGUCAUCUCCAGACAGAAGAGCAGCUUCAGCGACAGACUGCUGUCACUGUCCUGCUCCACUGACAGACUGAGGAGAUCGUUCCUCCCCCAAACUAUGCGACUUUUCAGUUCCACCCGGGGGGGGUAAACGUUAACAUUAUAUAAAGUUAUUGUCUGUUGUUACCUGCAUUGUUAUCAAUCUUUAAUUUAAUAUUGUUUUUUGUAUCAGUAAGGUGCUGCUUGAGUAUGUGAAUUUCCCCUUGGGAUUAAUAAAGUAUCUAUCUAUCUAUCUA